AGUGAACGCUGGCGGUAGGCCUAACACAUGCAAGUCGAACGGCCGCACCGUAAGAGCUUGCUCUCACGGGUGGCGCGUGGCGGACGGGUGCGUAAUACAUCGGAUUCUACUUUUUCGUGGGGGCUAACGUAGGGAAACUCACGCUAAUACCGCAUACGUCCUACGGGUGAAAGCACGCGUUCUUCGGACCUUGUGCGGUUGAAUGAGCCGACGUCGGAUUAGCUAGUUGGCGGGGUAAAGGCCCACCAAGGCGACGAUCCGUAGCUGGCAUGACAGGAUGAUCAGCCACACGGGAACUGAGACACGGCCCAGACUCCGACGGGAGGCAACAGUGGAGAAUAUUGCGCAAUGGGGGCAAGCCUGAUCCAGCGAUACCGCGGAGGGGAAGAAGGCGUUCGGGUGGUAAAGCCCUGUUGUUGUGAAAGAAAAGCAGUAGGUUAAUACCCCGCGGUUCUGACGGUACCCAAAGAAGAAGCACCGGCUAACUUCGUG
Molecule: ribosomal RNA, 492 nt
Filed under: uncultured bacterium
Lineage: Bacteria
Description: partial 16S ribosomal RNA
Rfam family: Bacterial small subunit ribosomal RNA
Source: RNAcentral